AUUCCCGGAACGAAAGAAAAAACAAAAGAAAAAACAAAAACUGGAA
This 46-nucleotide non-coding RNA is filed under the name Corethron pennatum. The record is from RNAcentral. Lineage: Eukaryota; Bacillariophyta; Corethrophyceae; Corethrales; Corethraceae.